GAUGAACGCUGGCGGCCUGCCUAAUACAUGCAAGUCGAGCGAACAGACGAGGAGCUUGCUCCUCUGACGUUAGCGGCGGACGGGUGAGUAACACGUGGAUAACCUACCUAUAAGACUGGGAUAACUUCGGGAAACCGGAGCUAAUACCGGAUAAUAUAUUGAACCGCAUGGUUCAAUAGUGAAAGACGGUUUUGCUGUCACUUAUAGAUGGAUCCGCGCCGCAUUAGCUAGUUGGUAAGGUAACGGCUUACCAAGGCAACGAUGCGUAGCCGACCUGAGAGGGUGAUCGGCCACACUGGAACUGGGACACGGUCCAGACUCCUACGGGAGGCAGCAGUAGGGAAUCUUCCGCAAUGGGCGAAAGCCUGACGGAGCAACGCCGCGUGAGUGAUGAAGGUCUUGGGAUCGUAAAACUCUGUUAUUAGGGAAGAACAAAUGUGUAAGUAACUGUGCACGUCUUGACGGUACCUAAACAGAAAGCCACGGCUAACUACGUG
Molecule: ribosomal RNA, 497 nt
Filed under: uncultured bacterium
Lineage: Bacteria
Description: partial 16S ribosomal RNA
Rfam family: Bacterial small subunit ribosomal RNA
Source: RNAcentral